This 853-nucleotide ribosomal RNA is filed under the name uncultured archaeon. RNAcentral's name for it is "bacterial SSU rRNA". It matches the Rfam family "Archaeal small subunit ribosomal RNA", at positions 83 to 922 of the family's 1478-position model. The record is from RNAcentral.
ACACUGCUCAGUAACACGUAGCUAACCUACCCUUAGGACGUGGAUACCCCCGAGAAAUUGGGGUUAAUCCGCGAUAGAUGUAAUGUCCUGGAAUGGUAUUACGUCUAAAGGUAUUUCAUACAUGUUUGAAAUAUGCCUAAGGAUGGGGCUGCGGCCGAUCAGGCUGUUGGUGAGGUAAUGGCUCACCAAACCUUUGACCGGUACGGGCCAUGAGAGUGGUAGCCCGGAGAUGGACACUGAGACAAGGGUCCAGGCCCUACGGGGCGCAGCAGGCGCGAAACCUCCUCAAUGCACUCACGUGCGAUGGGGCUAUCUCGAGUGCCACCUGAUGAAGGUGGCUUUUCCUUGGUCUUCAAAGCCUUGGGAAUAAGAGGGGGGCAAGACUGGUGUCAGCCGCCGCGGUAACACCAGCCCCUCGAGUGGUGGGGAUGAUUAUUUGGCCUAAAGCGUCCGUAGCCGGCCGGGUAAGUUUCCCGUUAAAUCCAGCGUCUCAAGCGUUGGACUGCGGGAAAUACUGCCUGGCUAGAGAGUGGGAGAGGUCAGCGGUAUUCUGGGGGUAGGGGCGAAAUCCUUUGAUCCCCGGAGGACCACCAGUGGCGAAGGCUGCUGACUAGAACACGUCUGACGGUCAGGGACGAAAGCUGGGGUAGCGAGCCGGAUUAGAUACCCGGGUAGUCCCAGCCGUAAACGAUGCAUGCUAGGUGUUGGGUUGGCCACGAGCCACCCCAGUGCCGCAGGGAAGCCGUUAAGCAUGCCGCCUGGGAAGUACGAUCGCAAGAUUGAAACUUAAAGGAAUUGGCGGGGGAGCACCACCAGGCGUGAAGCCUGCGGUUUAAUUGGAUUCAACGCCGGA